RNAcentral lists this ribosomal RNA (445 nucleotides) under uncultured bacterium. RNAcentral's name for it is "bacterial SSU rRNA". It matches the Rfam family "Bacterial small subunit ribosomal RNA", at positions 330 to 793 of the family's 1533-position model. The record is from RNAcentral.
GCCAGACUCCUACGGGAGGCAGCAGUGGGGAAUAUUGCACAAUGGGGGAAACCCUGAUGCAGCGACGCCGCGUGAGUGAAGAAGUAUCUCGGUACGUAAAGCUCUAUCAGCAGGGAAGAAAAUGACGGUACCUGACUAAGAAGCCCCGGCUAACUACGUGCCAGCAGCCGCGGUAAUACGUAGGGGGCAAGCGUUAUCCGGAUUUACUGGGUGUAAAGGGUGCGCAGGCGGUCUGUUAAGUCAGCGGUCAAAGCCCGGGGCUCAACCCCGUACUGCCGUUGAAACUGCAUCCCUUGAGUGCGCGAGAAGUAUGCGGAAUGCGUGGUGUAGCGGUGAAAUGCAUAGAUAUCACGCAGAACUCCGAUUGCGAAGGCAGCAUACCGGCGCUCAACUGACGCUCAUGCACGAAAGUGUGGGUAUCGAACAGGAUUAGAUACCCGAGUAU